CCUACGGGGUGCUGCAGUGAGGAAUAUUGGUCAAUGGACGCAAGUCUGAACCAGCCAUGCCGCGUGCAGGAAGACGGCUCUAUGAGUUGUAAACUGCUUUUGUACGAGGGUAAACGCAGAUACGCGUAUCUGUCUGAAAGUAUCGUACGAAUAAGGAUCGGCUAACUCCGUGCCAGCAGCCGCGGUAAUACGGAGGAUUCAAGCGUUAUCCGGAUUUAUUGGGUUUAAAGGGUGCGUAGGCGGUCGGAUAAGUUAGAGGUGAAAUCCCGAGGCUCAACUUCGGAAUUGCCUCUGAUACUGUUCGGCUAGAGAGUAGUUGCGGUAGGCGGAAUGUAUGGUGUAGCGGUGAAAUGCUUAGAGAUCAUACAGAACACCGAUUGCGAAGGCAGCUUACCAAGCUACUACUGACGUUGAGGCACGAAAGCGUGGGGAGCGAACAGGAUUAGAUACCCCUGUAGUC
RNAcentral lists this ribosomal RNA (460 nucleotides) under uncultured bacterium. RNAcentral's name for it is "partial 16S ribosomal RNA". It matches the Rfam family "Bacterial small subunit ribosomal RNA", at positions 338 to 795 of the family's 1533-position model. The record is from RNAcentral.